GCGGGCCGCGCGAGACCCGGGAAACAUGGCUGCUUGUCCUAUUUCGGCGUCGCGGCGUGGCCACCAGCCCCCGGAUCAGAGUUGGGAGAGGCUCCGAAGAGGCUCCCGCGCCGGCGGAAUUCAAUCAAUAAACCCCGAACCCACGGCCGCGCGUUUUAGGACUUUGAAGGCUCAACCAGCUCCGCUCGGUUCUCGAGCCCCCAGCACCCGCGGCGCACACUAACCUGAUCACCGUGGAGGCGGGAUUGGCAGCCCGGAAGAGUGGCAGCAGCCUUAGCCAAUCGCCGCCGAGGGUCUCCGGGCAACAGCGAAUGGUGGCGGAGGCGGGGGGGAAGGGACCAAUGGGUGGGCUGCGCAGCCGGCCAGGGAGGCUCAGCCAUUUGGUUGUGGUGCCGGAGACGGACCCCUUUAGAUUUCGGGGCGGCUGAGGAGCGCGGCGGCAGCUCGGCGGCUGAGCAAGGGGGGUGGGCGGAAUGUAGGGGGAAGGGAAGGUGACUGUGCCUGGAGGGCCGAGCCGCCCGGCCUCGCCAGCCCGCCGCCGCCUCAGCGUUUGGCCGGGGGCGGGGCCGCAGGUGCGUUAUACGAAAGGGAGGGGCGCGGCCGGAGGGGCAGGGGGUCGGGGUCCGCGCCGGGCCAAGGGCUCUGUGGGGUUGCCCCGGGCCUGACCGCGCCGCACGACCGGGUUGUGGAAAGAGGCAGACGGCGAGAGGUCUGGGGGCCGCGGACUGCCUGGCGGGCGGGCAGAUGAAAGGCCUGGAAAGAGGGGAGGGGUCAAGGGUGUGGUGGGGGGAGGGGCUGGUCAUUUUCUGGGUCCAGCGGGCAGAGCUAGUGGAGCGUGGCUGCUGCCCCCCAUCUCCUCUGCGGGUUCCCACCCCCGGGCUGCGGCUCACAGCCCGCGCGCCCCUUCGCCUCCCGCCUCGUCGUAGUCCAGCCGUGGGCAUCGCAGCCCCUUGAAUACAUAAGUAAAUAAAAAGCAAGAUGCGUCCACUUCUGGAUGACUUGCCUUGCGGUCUCGACCCUCUCCAUGGAGAGGCAUUUCAGUUUGCAUGUCAGCUUGGAAGGAGUGAUCACCAAGAGGCACCCGGGGUUUUGUUUAAUCAAUAAAUGAGUGAAGACCAUGGACUAAGAAUUGAUGCUGAAUACUCUGAAUAUUUUAAAAAAUGGAAAGGGAAGGUGCUAGUAACUCCUGGUUUUCUGGACCGAACAUAAUUUAUGGGCUUUAUAGACCUAGUGAAAGAAAACGGCGCACAGUUUAUUUUAAUUGUCCACCUGAGUCAUUUGGUUCAAUCUGGGCUGGCAAAGAGGCUCUAUUUGGAGCACUUUCUCCAAGUUUUACGGUUUGCUUGCUUUCGGUUUUUUGAAUCACAUUAGUUGUAAGAGACCUUAAAGCCUUAAUUCCCACUUGGUUAACAACUUAUGGCCAGUUCUAGGACAGUGUUGUGUACUGCGUUGGCUGCCUAUGUCUGUUAACAAAUCACGGGGAUUGUUGUCAACAGGACAGAUACAUCUCCACACAACUGUUUUUCGAUUCUUUUAUUUCUACACGUCUACACUUUUCCUCAUGCACUCCAAGGUAGUUCUUUUACAUACAUUGUGUUUAUUUUUCAGGGACAUGGGUUCAAGGGAGAUAAACCAAUAUGUAUGUUGCAAGUUUGAAAUAUUGUUACAUAACACCAAUACAGUUUCAUUCUUGAGCAUACAAAAUUUAGGAGGAAAUAAAAAGUGACAGUGUAAAUAAAAGGCACAUAUAGAAUGCUUACACUGGGGAAGAAACUGUAGUAACUUUAAUAUUGUAACCCGAUGGAUUGCAAAUGUGAAAUCCUGCAACUAAGCAUUUUACUCAGUAAAUUCUUCUUUCAGACAAAAUAUUAAGUGGAAUUGGAAAAGUGAUCAUGUAUACUCUGAGUAGCUGUGAAAUGCAAAAUAAAAAUGGAAAGCCAUUGUUUUAUUUCA
This is a long non-coding RNA of Delphinapterus leucas (beluga whale), 1953 nucleotides long. RefSeq lists it as uncharacterized. NCBI's taxonomy places the organism in Eukaryota, Metazoa, Chordata, Mammalia, Artiodactyla, Monodontidae. The record is from RefSeq and is a predicted model, not a curated record.